Molecule: ribosomal RNA, 492 nt
Filed under: uncultured bacterium
Lineage: Bacteria
Description: partial 16S ribosomal RNA
Rfam family: Bacterial small subunit ribosomal RNA
Source: RNAcentral
AGUGAACGCUGGCGGUAGGCCUAACACAUGCAAGUCGAACGGCAGCACAGUAAGAGCUUGCUCUUACGGGUGGCGAGUGGCGGACGGGUGAGGAAUACAUCGGAAUCUACUUUUUCGUGGGGGAUAACGUAGGGAAACUUACGCUAAUACCGCAUACGACCUACGGGUGAAAGCAGGGGAUCUUCGGACCUUGCGCGAUUGAAUGAGCCGAUGUCGGAUUAGCUAGUUGGCGGGGUAAAGGCCCACCAAGGCGACGAUCCGUAGCUGGUCUGAGAGGAUGAUCAGCCGCACUGGAACUGAGACACGGUCCCGACUCCUACAGGAGGCAGCAGUGGGGAAUAUUGGACAAUGGGCGCAAGCCUGAUCCAGCCAUACCGCGUGGGUGAAGAAGGCCUUCGGGUUGUAAAGCCCUUUUGUUGGGAAAGAAAAGCAGCAGGUUAAUACCCCGCUGUUCUGACGGUACCCAAAGAAUAAGCACCGGCUAACUUCGUG